This 76-nucleotide transfer RNA is filed under the name Prevotellaceae bacterium. Its description in RNAcentral is "tRNA-Lys". It matches the Rfam family "tRNA". From Rfam's summary of the family: Transfer RNA (tRNA) molecules are approximately 80 nucleotides in length. Their secondary structure includes four short double-helical elements and three loops (D, anti-codon, and T loops). The record is from RNAcentral. Lineage: Bacteria; Pseudomonadati; Bacteroidota; Bacteroidia; Bacteroidales; Prevotellaceae.
GACUCCGUAGCUCAGUUGGUAGAGCAACAGACUCUUAAUCUGUGGGUCGUGGGUUCGACCCCCACCGGGGUCACCA